UACCGGCUGCCUGCUGGGAGCCAGGCAGUUCCACAGUGGAACAAGCUUAACUUCCCUCAGCUGAAAGGAAUGCUCACCCCUCUGGCCAGCCUGCUGUCAGUGUGUACACUUGAAGACUCAGGGCCUCUCCUUGCUCAGCGCCACCUGUUCUUACACCGGUCUCUGACUUCUCAAAACUGGGUGCCGGAGAACGGGGGCUGGAGACGGACAUCUAUCCUGUAGGCACAGUCCUGAGACACAACUGGCUCCCAUGGAAACCAGGGGGCCCUGAGGGACUCUCUCUGGACAUCUUGAAUGAGACCCACGGAGGCGGUGAUUGAUGCAAAAGCAAGAGGAGUUUAAUCAUUUCGACAUGUUGGGACCACCCACUUCAAGGGGAGAUGACCCUGAACAGACUCUAACAGAACUAAGAAUACAGACACCUUGUUUGACACAGCCAUCCCCUGACACAUCCAAUAUGUCUCUGAGUCACCAGCCCAGCCUUUUGACAGUCUCAAAGAAAGACCAACCAAGAAAGUCCUUCAAUAGAAAAGACGCGGAUACACAUUUGAGCAUGGACUUUCAUCUGUUCAGUGCGCAGACCACCGAUUGGUAUUUCAUUACUGGUAACCCGAGCAAGCAGGCAAACAGGCCUUUCCAAUCUCCAAACACAACUUUUAGUUUAGAAAAUUCCAAAUAAAGCAGAAUAAUCAA
RNAcentral lists this small RNA (693 nucleotides) under Rattus norvegicus (Norway rat). Its description in RNAcentral is "uncharacterized LOC102546644". Lineage: Eukaryota; Metazoa; Chordata; Mammalia; Rodentia; Muridae. The record is from RNAcentral.